Molecule: small nuclear RNA, 164 nt
Filed under: Echinops telfairi (small Madagascar hedgehog)
Lineage: Eukaryota; Metazoa; Chordata; Mammalia; Afrosoricida; Tenrecidae
Description: U1 spliceosomal RNA (ENSETEG00000020569.1)
Rfam family: U1 spliceosomal RNA
About the family: U1 is a small nuclear RNA (snRNA) component of the spliceosome (involved in pre-mRNA splicing). Its 5' end forms complementary base pairs with the 5' splice junction, thus defining the 5' donor site of an intron.
Source: RNAcentral
AUACUUACCUGGCAGUGGCGAUUCCAUGAUCAUGAAGGUGGUUUUCCCAGGGCAAGGCUUAUCCAUUGCACUCCGGAUGUGCUGACCCCUGCAAUUUCCUCAAGUGUGGGAAACUUGACUGCAUAAUUUGUGGUAGUGGGGGACUGCGUUCACACUCUCUCCUG